GUGCUGGGAACUGAACUCGGGUCCUCUGCAAAAAGCAAUACAUACUUUUAACUAUGGUACUAUGCCUGUUUUCCCUGGGUCGUGGCAUUUUAUCAUAGCAGUAGAAAUGAAGCUAGAAUAAAGUUGCCGAGAAAAUAUUAAGUCCUUCCUAAUCCUAUUGGUUCUGAUUAUUUUGUUAAACAAGGAAAGUGUGUUCAUUAUUAAAAUUUAGAGAAGAUGGACAAGCAGCUUGAAUAAUGAGCACUUGUAAUCCCCAACUCUGACUCUCUAACCAGAUUAAUUUUGACCUUCUUCUGAAAAAAAAAAAGAACUAGCUUUUUUUUUUUGCAUAAGCAUUUAUGCAUGUAAAAGGAACUCUGUCUUUAAAAAUCAGACAGAACAGUAUUUGUUUUGUGCUGCAUCUUAUUUCUUUCCCAAUAAACGAUGCCCAAAUUAGGUCAUUUAAUACUUUAUAAUAUUACCUGAUGUAUAUUUCACUGCCUAUUUUUCUUCUCUGAAAUACAGAUUGAAAAAUAAUCUUUUCUUCCCCCAUGAAAGGUAAAAACAAUUCUCUUAGUCAUAAAUUAUUUCUUUUUCCACAGUCAUUAUAUUUAUUCAGCGUGAUUGAAAUGAAAAACAUAUUAAAUGAUUAUUUUUCUGGGGACAUAUCUCUGUGCUUAUUCAGUCAGUAUGCAUGAAGCCACAGGUUCAGUUUCUCACAGUCAUAAACUCAGCAUAGUCCUGGAUAGCUUUGAUCCUAGCAUUCCAGAGGUAGCAACUGAGGGAUGCACUUUGUCAGGACAGCCUGGACUAUGCUCCCUCUCAAAACAAUCAAUUAACCAACCAAACAAACAAAUGAAAACAACAAC
Molecule: long non-coding RNA, 848 nt
Filed under: Mus musculus (house mouse)
Lineage: Eukaryota; Metazoa; Chordata; Mammalia; Rodentia; Muridae
Description: long non-coding RNA chr10:119501373-119502221
Source: RNAcentral